Molecule: ribosomal RNA, 504 nt
Filed under: uncultured bacterium
Lineage: Bacteria
Description: partial 16S ribosomal RNA
Rfam family: Bacterial small subunit ribosomal RNA
Source: RNAcentral
AUUGAACGCUGGCGGCAGGCCUAACACAUGCAAGUCGAACGGUAGCACAGAGAGCUUGCUCUCGGGUGACGAGUGGCGGACGGGUGAGUAAUGUCUGGGAAACUGCCUGAUGGAGGGGGAUAACUACUGGAAACGGUAGCUAAUACCGCAUAACGUCGCAAGACCAAAGAGGGGGACCUUCGGGCCUCUUGCCAUCAGAGUUGCCCAGAUGGGAUUAGCGAGUAGGUGGGGUAAUGGCUCACCUAGGCGACGAUCCCUAGCUGGUCGGAGAGGAUGACCAGCCACACUGGAACUGAGACACGGUCCAGACUCCUACGGGAGGCAGCAGUGGGGAAUAUUGCACAAUGGGCGCAAGCCUGAUGCAGCCAUGUCGCGUGUAUGAAGAAGGCCUUCGGGUUGUAAAGUACUUUCAGCGGGGAGGAAGGUGUUGCGGUUAAUAACCGCAGCAAUUGACGUUACCCGCAGAAGAAGCACCGGCUAACUCCGUGCCAGCAGCCGCCGUAA